AUGGAGGUGAAGAAGAGGGCGGCCGCCAUUGCCGCACUGUGCGUGCUCCUCGUCAUGUCAGUGCCGCCCCAGCAGCGGGCGGCCGCCGAGACCUUCUGCGAGUGCUACCAGCCCUGCCACGACGGGUGCAGCCGCAGCGGAUGGAUCUGCAAAGUCGACUGCAUCCAGAAAUGCAAGGAAGAAGGCUACCCCGAGGAGAGCCGCGCCGCCUGCCUCUGGGUCUGCAGCACCGACUCCGUCUGCGGCCCGUCGGCGGCGCCCACCGGUAAGAUGACGACGGGUCACCUUACUUGCAUUGCAUUUCUGCUCCGUUUAUGGAUGAAUUCUCCUCAACAUCGAUGCAAUAUACAUGGUCUCUCCUUUUUCUGUUGA
This 372-nucleotide ribosomal RNA is filed under the name Triticum aestivum (bread wheat). Its description in RNAcentral is "partial small subunit ribosomal RNA". The record is from RNAcentral. Lineage: Eukaryota; Viridiplantae; Streptophyta; Magnoliopsida; Poales; Poaceae.